RNAcentral lists this ribosomal RNA (207 nucleotides) under uncultured bacterium. Its description in RNAcentral is "partial 16S ribosomal RNA". It matches the Rfam family "Bacterial small subunit ribosomal RNA", at positions 568 to 775 of the family's 1533-position model. The record is from RNAcentral.
UGCGUAGGUGGUUGAUUAAGUCUUUGGUGUAAGUGCAGUGCUUAACGCUGUGAUGCUAAAGAAACUGGUUAACUUGAGUGUGGUAGAGGCAAGUGGAAUUCCAUGUGUAGCGGUAAAAUGCGUAAAUAUAUGGAGGAACACCAGUGGCGAAGGCGGCUUGCUGGGCCACAACUGACACUGAGGCACGAAAGCGUGGGGAGCAAACAG